RNAcentral lists this ribosomal RNA (739 nucleotides) under uncultured Methanosarcinaceae archaeon. RNAcentral's name for it is "SSU rRNA". It matches the Rfam family "Archaeal small subunit ribosomal RNA", at positions 114 to 852 of the family's 1478-position model. The record is from RNAcentral. Lineage: Archaea; Methanobacteriati; Methanobacteriota; Methanomicrobia; Methanosarcinales; Methanosarcinaceae.
CUUUGGACCGGGAUAACCCCGGGAAACUGGGGAUAAUACCGGAUAACGCACAUAUGCUGGAAUGCUUUAUGCGUAAAAUGGAUUCGUCUGCCCAAGGAUGGGUCUGCGGCCUAUCAGGUAGUAGUGGGUGUAAUGUACCUACUAGCCUACACGGGUACGGGUUGUGAGAGCAAGAGCCCGAAGAUGGAUUUUGAGACAUGAAUCCAGGCCCUACGGGGCGCAGCAGGCGCGAAAACUUUACAAUGCGGGAAACCGUGAUAAGGGGACACCGAGUGCUAGCAUCAUAUGCUGGCUGUCCAGGUGUGUAAAAUACACCUGUUAGCAAGGGCCGGGCAAGACCGGUGCCAGCCGCCGCGGUAACACCGGCGGCCCGAGUGGUGAUCGUGAUUAUUGGGUCUAAAGGGUCCGUAGCCGGUUUGGUCAGUCCUCCGGGAAAUCUGAUAGCUCAACUAUUAGGCUUUCGGGGGAUACUGCCAGACUUGGAACCGGGAGAGGUAAGAGGUACUACAGGGGUAGGAGUGAAAUCUUGUAAUCCCUGUGGGACCACCUGUGGCGAAGGCGUCUUACCAGAACGGGUUCGACGGUGAGGGACGAAAGCUGGGGGCACGAACCGGAUUAGAUACCCGGGUAGUCCCAGCCGUAAACGAUGCUCGCUAGGUGUCAGGCAUGGCGCGACCGUGUCUGGUGCCGCAGGGAAGCCGUGAAGCGAGCCACCUGGGAAGUACGGCCGCAAGGCUGA